UAGCCGUAAACGAUACUCGCUAGGUGUCGGCCACGGUGCGACCGUUGUCGGUGCCGUAGGGAAGCCGUGAAGCGAGCCACCUGGGAAGUACGGCCGCAAGGCUGAAACUUAAAGGAAUUGGCGGGGGGAGCACCACAACGGGUGGAGCUUGCGGUUUAAUUGGAUUCAACGCCGGAAAUCUUACCGGGACCGACAACAACAUGAAGGCCAGGCUGAAGACUUUGCCGGAUUAGCUGAGAGGAGGUGCAUGGCGUAGUCGUGU
Molecule: ribosomal RNA, 262 nt
Filed under: uncultured archaeon
Lineage: Archaea
Description: partial 16S ribosomal RNA
Rfam family: Archaeal small subunit ribosomal RNA
Source: RNAcentral